CCAAUAGCGUAUAUUAAAGUUGUUGCAGUUAAAAAGCUCGUAGUUGAAUUUCGGGAUUGGCGCAUCGGUCGUGCCUCACGGGGUAUGAACUGGUGCAGUCAAUUUUCUCACCUUCUGGAGAACCGCGAUGUCCUUAAUUGGAUGCCGCGGGGAACCAGGACCUUUACUUUGAAAAAAUUAGAGUGUUUAAAGCAGGCAUUUUUGCUUGAAUACAUUAGCAUGGAAUAAUAAAAUAGGACGGCAUGGUUCUAUUUUGUUGGUUUCUAGGACCACCGUAAUGAUUAAUAGGGAUAGUUGGGGGCAUUAGUAUUCAAUUGUCAGAGGUGAAAUUCUUGGAUUUAUUGAAGACUAACUACUGCGAAAGCAUUUGCCAAGGAUGUUUUCAUUAAUCAAGAACGAAAGUUAGGGGAUCGAAGACGAUCAGAUACCGUCGUAGUCUUAACCAUAAACUAUGCCGACUAGGAAUCAGACGAUGUUAAUUUUUUAAUGACUCGUUUGGCACCUUACGGGAAACCAAAGUGUUUGGGUC
RNAcentral lists this ribosomal RNA (529 nucleotides) under uncultured Entrophospora. Its description in RNAcentral is "SSU rRNA". It matches the Rfam family "Eukaryotic small subunit ribosomal RNA", at positions 591 to 1113 of the family's 1831-position model. Lineage: Eukaryota; Fungi; Glomeromycota; Glomeromycetes; Entrophosporales; Entrophosporaceae. The record is from RNAcentral.